UCUUGAAUGUGGGUUUUCAAGUUAUCAAUUACUUGAAGGUUCACAUCAAAAAGAAAUACCAAAAAUUCAAACCAAGAAUUUUAUUUGUAUUACCAAAUAAAAAUCUAAACCAUGAAAGAAAAAGCAAAUUAGGUGUAGCAAAGUCUGGACCACAUAUGAAAAUUAUAUGCAACAGGCCAUUAACAAGAACACAUCUUUGAAUAUCGAUCACAUAAAAUCAGGUCCUAUCUUCUAUUUAUCACCAAAAAAAAAAAUCCAAAAUAGAUAAGCAUAUCUACUAGUCUCGUGGGGCAAAAAUCAAUACAAGACCCGAAGUUAUGAGUCUUCAUCAAUCAGUUGAAUUGAAGGUUAGUGGCCGCGUGGCCUAAAAAUCAGCCAAAACAAAACAAAAAUUACAUUUAACACCUUAAUUACGAGGUUUACGGUUAAUUACUAAAUUUCAUUGAUUAAAAAAUUCUUAUAUAUAUGAGCAAAAUUUUUAAUGUACAAUAAAAACCAUAUUUAAAUAAAAUUUUAUCCAUUGAUAUUCAAAAAAGGAAUAGAGCUAAAAGCAGAAAAUUUCCCUUAAAUUUUAGACAAAGUAGUUUCAAAGUAAACUUUUUCGAUCCAAUUAGUUAUUAUAUUUUUGUUUAACUUUAAAUCAACACAAUUUUUAAUAAAAAUUAAAAUAAUAUUUUUAUUUUUCAUAAUGAAAUAUUAUUUUUAUAUAAAACUAAAAUUUUAAUCAUUUUAAAAAUUAAAAAAAAAUUCUAUCAACUCAGAGAGCAGAAACCUUCUUCGUUCAUUCUCAUCCUCGCUGCUUCACCGGCAGCAGCAUAAAGCAGAGCCCAAGUGACCAAGAAUUUAGGAGACCUUGUAGAAUCCACUUGGAUGGCCACGACAUGACGCUUGCCUACACCCGCACCCACUCCCAAGUUCCAACCCCACAUAGCGUUGAUUGCCAAACGUCAUAUCGUUUACCCCGAAAUCGUCUUCAAUAGUAGAGCGAGCUAUUUGGCAAGUUAAGCCAGUGAUGUAUUCCUCCUCGCCUCUCUCUUCCGUAGAACCGACCACCGACUUAUCAGAAAAUUGAGAUCGGAAGACACCCCAAAGGAUCCAAACCCAUAAAGAAAGUCAAAUGAGAACAAAGGCUUGGCAUGCUCAGUUUCAGAGACAGGCAUAUCUUUAGCAUUUCAGGGCCAUUGUUAAUAUUGUUACUGUGGCUUUCUUAUACAUGAAAAUAUCAUUGCCGGUGAGGAACUGAGAGGGCAACCAAAACUCGUCACCAUCUGAACUCUGUCAUAUUUAAAAACCCUAGCAAUGACAGAAAGAGCAAAAAAAAAAGGUACAAGGGGGGAGAAUGAAAGUGAAAGUUCUGAUGAUUUUAGAGUAAAUGAGGGUUUGCUGCUUGGUGAAAAUCCUGGUUUUGGAAUUUUUGCUGGAUUUGCUGCCUUAGAAAGAGUAAAAACAAAUGGAAAGCCAGGAUUCUCCCUUUCAUUAGCAAAUGCUCAAAGCAAAUUUCAAAGUACCAAAUUAAAUUGUUAGGUAACUUGUAAAAAACUAUAAAGUCUCAUCGAAAAUCACUGAAACAAAAAAACGACAACUAUAAGUUAAACCGUACAAUAUAUAGGACUAUCAAACAAAAACCUUUAAUUCUGACAUAAAUGGUGACC
This 1652-nucleotide unclassified non-coding RNA is filed under the name Hevea brasiliensis (rubber tree). Lineage: Eukaryota; Viridiplantae; Streptophyta; Magnoliopsida; Malpighiales; Euphorbiaceae. The record is from RNAcentral.